CCGACGGUGAGGGAUGAAGGCUGGGGGCGCAAACCGGAUUAGGUACCCGGGUAGUCCCAGCAGUAAACGAUGCCAGCUAUGUGUUGCUGGAACCAUGGGUUCCAGCAGUGCCGAAGGGAAGCCGUGAAGCUGGCCACCUGGGAAGUACGGUCGCAAGGCUGAAGCUUAAAGGAAUUGGCGGGGGAGUACCACAACCGGUGGAGCCUGCGGUUUAAUUGGAUACAACGCCGGGAAUCUUACCGGAGGGGACAGCAGUAUGAAGGCCAGGCUAAAGACCUUGCCAGAUCAGCUGAGAGGAGGUGCAUGGCCGUCGCCAGUUCGUACCGUGAGGCAUCCUGUUUAGUCAGGCAACGAUCGAGACCCGCAGUCUUAUUUGCCAGCAUGCCCUUUGGGGUGUAUGGGUACAAUAAGACGACCGCCAGCGCUAAGCUGGAGGAAGGAGCGGGCUACGGUAGGUCAGCAUGCCCCGAAUCCUCCGGGAUACACGCGGGCUACAAUGGUCAGGACGAAAGGUACCGACCUCGAAAGAGUGAGGUAAUCCACANACCUGAUCUCAGUCCGGAUCGAAGGCUGCAACUCGCCUUCGUGAAGAUGGAAUCGGUAGUAAUCGUGACUCAACCUGUCACGGUGAAUAUGUCCCUGCUCUUGCAACACACCGCCC
This 661-nucleotide ribosomal RNA is filed under the name uncultured archaeon. RNAcentral's name for it is "bacterial SSU rRNA". It matches the Rfam family "Archaeal small subunit ribosomal RNA", at positions 691 to 1351 of the family's 1478-position model. The record is from RNAcentral.